RNAcentral lists this transfer RNA (73 nucleotides) under Actinomycetota bacterium. RNAcentral describes it as "tRNA-Arg". It matches the Rfam family "tRNA". Rfam says of the family: Transfer RNA (tRNA) molecules are approximately 80 nucleotides in length. Lineage: Bacteria; Bacillati; Actinomycetota. The record is from RNAcentral.
GCGCCCGUAGCUCAGCGGAAAGAGCAGGUGCCUUCUAAGCACUUGGCCGCAGGUUCGAGUCCUGCCGGGCGCA